GUUGAUAGAAGAAGAAGAUGAAGAAGAUAAUGUAUGAAA
Molecule: small RNA, 39 nt
Filed under: Arabidopsis thaliana (thale cress)
Lineage: Eukaryota; Viridiplantae; Streptophyta; Magnoliopsida; Brassicales; Brassicaceae
Description: ATSL137050
Source: RNAcentral